Molecule: long non-coding RNA, 445 nt
Filed under: Columba livia (rock pigeon)
Lineage: Eukaryota; Metazoa; Chordata; Aves; Columbiformes; Columbidae
Description: partial uncharacterized LOC102097693
Source: RNAcentral
ACACCUGAGUUUGCUGUAAACUAUUAAAUAUGGCACAGAAAAAUCUGAAAUUAGAGAACUGGAGAAAGAAGUGGGGUCUGUGGCUUUUGGAUUGAGGAGGAAAUGACUUGCUCUCCCCUUACCUUUUGUACAGAAGUGACUGUUUUGGGACGGUGUCCCUGGGCUGGUGGCUCUGCGGGAUUAGAUGUGAAGGCACUCGGGAACGCCACUGCAGUGAAGGUGGUUCUGGGACUGAAGGGUGAGCAGCAGCGGGAUGGCCGGGAACUGAUGUGGUUCUGCUGCACAGGGAAAGGGGGUUUUGGAGACACCGCUACCAUUCGGAUUCCUCUGGAUUCCUGAUGGCUCGUCUGGUUCACUGAGCUUCACCGCUCAGGUGAAACAAGGCCACAAAAGAAUGGUAUAUUACAGAUUUACAAACACAGAGAGAAUCUUUCAGACUGAACUG